Molecule: ribosomal RNA, 382 nt
Filed under: uncultured eukaryote
Lineage: Eukaryota
Description: partial 18S ribosomal RNA
Rfam family: Eukaryotic small subunit ribosomal RNA
Source: RNAcentral
UAUAAGCGUAUACCAAAGUUGUUGCAGUUUAAACGCUCGUAGUCGGAAUUUGGCAGUUCCGGAUGUGUGCACGUCGUGUGCGCACUUCGCGGGGAUUGCUUUUGUGGUCUUGCGUAGGAUGAGGCACUUUUAUUAGUGAACGUCCUCACGCAACCACUUUUUACUGUGAGAAAAUCAGAGUGCUCAAAGCAGGCAUUUGCCGUGAAUGUAUUAGCAUGGAAUAAUAGAAUAGGACUUGGUUCUAUUUUGUUGGUUUGUUGGGACUGAGUAAUGAUUAAGAGGGACAGUUGGGGGCAUUUGUAUUUCGGUGCUAGAGGUGAAAUUCUUAGAUUACCGAAAGACAAACUGCUGCGAAAGCGUCUGCCAAGGAUGUUUUCAUUGA